CGCACCUUGCGCUCCCUGGUAUUCCGGGGAGCAUGCCUGUUUGAGUGUCGUGAAGUCAUCAUGGUCAUGAUCUUUAAUUAAUCAUGGCUUGGAUUUGGAGGUAUGUUGGCUUUCAGUCAACUCCUCUUAAAUACAUUAGCUCAGUGUUAAUGCUUGGAGCGGUUCACAGUGUGAUAAUUAUCUACACUUCGACUAAUCCAAGUUAGCUGGCUUCUAAUCGAUCCUUAGUGAUCAUUUUGUGUAUUUGACCUCAAAUCAGGUAGGACUACCCGCUGAACUUAA
Molecule: unclassified non-coding RNA, 282 nt
Filed under: Resinicium confertum
Lineage: Eukaryota; Fungi; Basidiomycota; Agaricomycetes; Hymenochaetales
Description: partial contains 5.8S ribosomal RNA, internal transcribed spacer 2, and large subunit ribosomal RNA
Source: RNAcentral